GGUUUGACCUCGGAUCAGGUAGGGAUACCCGCUGAACUUAAGCAUAUCAAUAAGCGGAGGAAAAGA
RNAcentral lists this ribosomal RNA (66 nucleotides) under Nannizziopsis arthrosporioides. RNAcentral describes it as "partial 28S ribosomal RNA". It matches the Rfam family "Eukaryotic large subunit ribosomal RNA", at positions 1 to 62 of the family's 3401-position model. The record is from RNAcentral. Lineage: Eukaryota; Fungi; Ascomycota; Eurotiomycetes; Onygenales; Nannizziopsiaceae.